GGGGUCGACUGGUUUUGACAGCGAGUGGAAUUGAGAAGUAAGCACGUCGAGAACUGGAACAAUUCUCGUUAAUAAAUGGUUCUAAACUUUUAAACGGCGAAAAUAAUUACGCUUUAGCUGCUUAAUCUGAAUUAUAGUAAGAUUUGCCUAGUCCCAACCAGGUUGGGAAGCUAGAUUCACCUCGAAAUCCUUGGUUUAUGGAGUUUGAUUUAGGUGAACCGUAAAAGUAAACCUAGAAACGGUAAUGCUUUAAAUCCGUUUUGAAAAUGUAAAGCUAAGCAAAAAGUGGCUGUUUUUGGUCUUGCUUUUUGUCGAAAAUUUAAACAAAAACUAAACGCGUAGAAAGCUCUUCGAUUGCUUGUUUGGACGAGAGUUCGAUUCUCUCCGACUCCACAA
RNAcentral lists this transfer-messenger RNA (396 nucleotides) under Flavobacterium sp. 316. It matches the Rfam family "transfer-messenger RNA". From Rfam's summary of the family: Bacterial tmRNA, also known as 10Sa RNA or SsrA, is named for its dual tRNA and mRNA-like properties. Its role is to liberate the mRNA from a stalled ribosome. RNAcentral also lists the same sequence under 1 other name. The record is from Rfam by way of RNAcentral. Lineage: Bacteria; Pseudomonadati; Bacteroidota; Flavobacteriia; Flavobacteriales; Flavobacteriaceae.